Molecule: ribosomal RNA, 523 nt
Filed under: uncultured bacterium
Lineage: Bacteria
Description: partial 16S ribosomal RNA
Rfam family: Bacterial small subunit ribosomal RNA
Source: RNAcentral
GACGAACGCUGGCGGCGUGCCUAAUACAUGCAAGUCGAACGCUUUUUCUUUCACCGGAGCUUGCUCCAUCGAAAGAAAAAGAGUGGCGAACGGGUGAGUAACACGUGGGUAACCUGCCCAUCAGAAGGGGAUAACACUUGGAAACAGGUGCUAAUACCGUAUAACACUAUUUUCCGCAUGGAAGAAAGUUGAAAGGCGCUUUUGCGUCACUGAUGGAUGGACCCGCGGUGCAUUAGCUAGUUGGUGAGGUAACGGCUUCACAAGGCAACGAUGCAUAGCCGACCUGAGAGGGGGAUCGGCCACACUGGGACUGAGACACGGCCCAGACUCCUACGGGAGGCAGCAGUAGGGAAUCUUCGGCAAUGGACGAAAGUCUGACCGAGCAACGCCGCGUGAGUGAAGAAGGUUUUCGGAUCGUAAAACUCUGUUGUUAGAGAAGAACAAGGAUGAGAGUAAAAUGUUCAUCCCUUGACGGUAUCUAACCAGAAAGCCACGGCUAACUACGUGCCAGCCGCCGCGGUAA